Long non-coding RNA from Pyrus x bretschneideri (Chinese white pear), 359 nucleotides. RefSeq lists it as uncharacterized. The record is from RefSeq and is a predicted model, not a curated record. Lineage: Eukaryota; Viridiplantae; Streptophyta; Magnoliopsida; Rosales; Rosaceae. The transcript is spliced from 2 exons.
CCAUUAUUUAUCACAAAUGAUGCAGAACUUGCACCAUGUGAAUAUUUUGGUUCAUGAUGAUGCUAGGGUUGACGGAGAAAAUCAAGAUGAUCAAUACAUUCUCGAUGGAUAACGCUUUACUUUGAAGAAACUGCUCUCUGCUCUGUAUGUAUGAAUGUCUGCAGUGUCGUGGGAAUUGUAAAGGUUAGAAAUUUGUUUAAUGCACUCCGAUUUGUACUUUGUUCAAUUAGGUAUGGUUAUUGACUGAUCUAUCGAGCUUGAAAUCAAGUCAAUAAGGACCAUGAAUUCCCAACUCUAAAUUUUUAUGUAACUAUUGUGUUUAAAUUGAAUAAUUUUCUUUAUCCCUCAAUAACGUUUUG